RNAcentral lists this long non-coding RNA (221 nucleotides) under Gallus gallus (chicken). The record is from RNAcentral. Lineage: Eukaryota; Metazoa; Chordata; Aves; Galliformes; Phasianidae.
CUUUGAGCUGCGACCUUUUCCGCUUCUGUAUUGGUAAGAAUUUGGGGGUAGACUCUAUUAAGCUGAAGGAUAAUUUUAUCAACCACUUGCUCAUUCAGUCGGCUAUUGCUUGUAAGAAAAUACAUGUCGUGUUGCAGCCGGUGACAGUACGACUGAUCGAGCAUAGCGGCCCGGCCCGGGGCUGCGGCCCUUCCUGCUGCCGAGCGCUCCGGGGCCGCCCC